This 119-nucleotide ribosomal RNA is filed under the name Pteropus alecto (black flying fox). The record is from RNAcentral. Lineage: Eukaryota; Metazoa; Chordata; Mammalia; Chiroptera; Pteropodidae.
GUCUACAGCCAAACCACCCUGAACAAGCCCAAUCUCGUCUGAUCUCGGAAGCUAAGCAGGGUCGGACCUGGUUAGUACUUGGAUGGGAGACCACCUAGGAAGACCAGGUGCUGUAGGUG